RNAcentral lists this ribosomal RNA (447 nucleotides) under uncultured bacterium. Its description in RNAcentral is "SSU rRNA". It matches the Rfam family "Bacterial small subunit ribosomal RNA", at positions 26 to 518 of the family's 1533-position model. The record is from RNAcentral.
AGAAUGAACGCUGGCGGCAUGCCUAACACAUGCAAGUCGAACGAAGUCCUUCGGGGCUUAGUGGCGCACGGGUGCGUAACGCGUGGGAAUCUACCCUUAGGUUCGGAAUAACAGUUGGAAACGACUGCUAAUACCGGAUGAUGACGUAAGUCCAAAGAUUUAUCGCCUAGGGAUGAGCCCGCGUAGGAUUAGCUAGUUGGUGUGGUAAAGGCGCACCAAGGCGACGAUCCUUAGCUGGUCUGAGAGGAUGAUCAGCCACACUGGGACUGAGACACGGCCCAGACUCCUACGGGAGGCAGCAGUGGGGAAUAUUGGACAAUGGGCGAAAGCCUGAUCCAGCAAUGCCGCGUGAGUGAUGAAGGCCUUAGGUUGUAAAGCUCUUUUACCCGGGAUGAUAAUGACAGUACCGGGAGAAUAAGCUCCGGCUAACUCCGCGCCAGCAGCCGC